RNAcentral lists this unclassified non-coding RNA (380 nucleotides) under uncultured Gemmatimonadaceae bacterium. RNAcentral's name for it is "contains 16S-23S intergenic spacer region". Lineage: Bacteria; Pseudomonadati; Gemmatimonadota; Gemmatimonadia; Gemmatimonadales; Gemmatimonadaceae. The record is from RNAcentral.
UCCGGUUUGGCACCGGCAGUCUCCCUAGAGUGCCCGGCCUGACCCGCUGGCAACUAAGGACGGGGGUUGCGCUCGUUGCGGGACUUAACCCAACAUCUCACGACACGAGCUGACGACAGCCAUGCAGCACCUGUGCACGGAUCCCGAAGGAGGCCCCCGCUUUCACAGGGGUUUCCCGUGCAUGUCAAGCCCAGGUAAGGUUCUUCGCGUUGCGUCGAAUUAAACCACAUGCUCCACCGCUUGUGCGGGCCCCCGUCAAUUCCUUUGAGUUUCAGCCUUGCGGCCGUACUCCCCAGGCGGGGCACUUAAUGCGUUAGCGCCGGCACCCGGGGGGUCGCUCCCCCGGGCACCUAGUGCCCAUCGUUUACGGCGUGGACUAC